UGAGAAUUAAAUGAGUUAAUAUAUGGAAAUUUCUUGUAGCAAGGUCUGGCUCACAGCAUUAUAUAUUAUUAUAUAUUGUCAUUUUGUGUAAUUAUCCCCAUUUUAUAGAUUUCAAAAGAAACACACACACACAACCAAAAGAAACAAAUAAAUUAUAUUUUAGGGUUUAUCUGAUGUCUUUUAGGUUCACUUUAGAAUAUUCAAGAAGAGAUCGAGGCAUUAGACUGAGCUGGAAACUUGACAGAAAGAACUAUCUUCCCGGUUUUCUCUGGAAAUGAGUGGAGGGAAUGAAGAGUUGCCAGAAGAGGGAUGAAGAGUCUGUGAAUUCCGAAGAGGCAGAAGAUAGCAAUGAGAGUUAACAGAGAUGCAUGAACAUGUAUUAGAAAAAUGAUUCACACGCAAUAGAAAAAUUAAGUAAGACCAGGAUUGGGUGGCUUUGGAGAACGUAAUUUCAACUUGAACGUGAAGAUGCUUGUAGAACAGUGUUCCUUCCUCUGAACAUGGCUACAGAAGAACAAAUCACUUAGUCUGAAGAUGAAAACAAGAAGCUGAUGGAAGACACAUUCUGAACUAGCUAACACAACACUCUGAAACUGGAGGAUAUCAACUGAUAAGAUAUGAAGUUCUCCCUUAGUUUCAAAUACACUGGGUUCAUAAAUUAUUAACAUAAACAAUGGAUGUCCCGUCAAGCUACCAUGAAGAUAGCUAGGUCUGCACAACUCCUCAAGUGUCGACCCCUCCAAGCACAUCCUCCACCUGGAACUGUGAACCGAAUGGAUAAAUGUGUUGGUCAGAAAGGUCUUUACAUCUUUGAAUUGUAAUGAUCAUGAUUAGUUGCUGAGUUUACCACCU
RNAcentral lists this long non-coding RNA (852 nucleotides) under Pongo abelii (Sumatran orangutan). RNAcentral's name for it is "lincRNA". The record is from RNAcentral. Lineage: Eukaryota; Metazoa; Chordata; Mammalia; Primates; Hominidae.